RNAcentral lists this long non-coding RNA (261 nucleotides) under Hordeum vulgare. Its description in RNAcentral is "long non-coding RNA (HVUL_LNC017742)". The record is from RNAcentral. Lineage: Eukaryota; Viridiplantae; Streptophyta; Magnoliopsida; Poales; Poaceae.
CUCGACCUUUUUAGAGCUAAAUACAAUAGUAGAUUUAAAUAAUAUAACUGAUGGAGUGAGCGUAGCCACCAAAAUGGUUGGUCUUCAGUUAGGAUCUCCGUAGCAGCAUUCUAAAAACAGAAUUAGUUAGAGAAAAGACACAACAUAGAAAUUUUGAACAAAAAACAAUUAAUCCAGUGGAAGUUUUCUCUGCCAAGAAACUUAUUCUUAAUUACCUAUAAAAAAAGGAGUUUGUGUUAAUUUAUUAGCUCGGUGUUAAGU